UACGUAGGUGGCGAGCGUUGUCCGGAAUUACUGGGUGUAAAGCGCGUGUAGGCGGGAGGCCAAGUCUGCGGUGAAAUCGCUCGGCUCAACUGGGCGGGGUCCGUGGAAACUGGUCACCUGGAGGACGGUAGAGGCGAGUGGAAUUCCCGGUGUAGUGGUGAAAUGCGUAGAGAUGGGGAGGAACACCAGUGGCGAAGGCGGCUCGCUGGGCCGGACCUGACGCUGAGACGCGAAGGCGUGGGGAGCGAACGGG
RNAcentral lists this ribosomal RNA (253 nucleotides) under uncultured bacterium. RNAcentral's name for it is "partial 16S ribosomal RNA". It matches the Rfam family "Bacterial small subunit ribosomal RNA", at positions 524 to 776 of the family's 1533-position model. The record is from RNAcentral.